Molecule: ribosomal RNA, 250 nt
Filed under: uncultured bacterium
Lineage: Bacteria
Description: partial 16S ribosomal RNA
Rfam family: Bacterial small subunit ribosomal RNA
Source: RNAcentral
UACGUACUGUGCGAACGUUAUUCGGAAUCACUGGGCUUAAAGGGUGCGUAGGCGGUUAUCUAAGUAGGGUGUGAAAUCCCCCGGCUCAACCGGGGAACUGCGCUCUAAACUGGAUGGCUUGAGUAAGAUAGGGGUGUGCGGAACUUCCGGUGGAGCGGUGAAAUGUGUUGAUAUCGGAAGGAACACCAGUAGCGAAAGCGGCACACUGGGUCUUAACUGACGCUGAGGCACGAAAGCUAGGGUAGCGAAC